This 180-nucleotide ribosomal RNA is filed under the name uncultured Glomeromycotina. Its description in RNAcentral is "partial small subunit ribosomal RNA". Lineage: Eukaryota; Fungi; Glomeromycota. The record is from RNAcentral.
GGUCUGGCUGGCCGGUCCGCCUCACCGCGAGUACUGGUCCGGCUGGACCUUUCCUUCUGGGGAACCUCAUGGCCUUCACUGGCUGUGGGGGGAACCAGGACUUUUACUGUGAAAAAAUUAGAGUGUUUAAAGCAAGUGAAUAACAGCCUGAAUACAUUAGCAUGGAAUAAUAGAAUAGGA